UGGGGAAUUUUGGACAAUGGGCGAAAGCCUGAUCCAGCAAUGCCGCGUGUGUGAAGAAGGCCUUCGGGUUGUAAAGCACUUUUGUCCGGAAAGAAAUCCUUGGCUCUAAUACAGUCGGGGGAUGACGGUACCGGAAGAAUAAGCACCGGCUAACUACGUGCCAGCAGCCGCGGUAAUACGUAGGGUGCAAGCGUUAAUCGGAAUUACUGGGCGUAAAGCGUGCGCAGGCGGUUUGCUAAGACCGAUGUGAAAUCCCCGGGCUCAACCUGGGAACUGCAUUGGUGACUGGCAGGCUAGAGUAUGGCAGAGGGGGGUAGAAUUCNCGUGUAGCAGUGAAAUGCGUAGAGAUGUGGAGGAAUACCGAUGGCGAAGGCAGCCCCCUGGGCCAAUACUGACGCUCAUGCACGAAAGCGUGGGAAGCAAACAGGAUUAGAUACCCCUGGUAGUCCACGCCCUAAAACGAUGUCAACUAGUUGUUGGGGGACUUCAAUUUUCCUUAGUAACGUAGCUAACGCGUGAAGUUGACCGCCUGGGGGAGUACGGUCGCAAAGAUUAAAACUCAAAGGAAUUGACGGGGUCAUAGCUGUUUCCU
This 592-nucleotide ribosomal RNA is filed under the name uncultured bacterium. Its description in RNAcentral is "partial 16S ribosomal RNA". It matches the Rfam family "Bacterial small subunit ribosomal RNA", at positions 355 to 1375 of the family's 1533-position model. The record is from RNAcentral.